Molecule: long non-coding RNA, 744 nt
Organism: Saccoglossus kowalevskii
Lineage: Eukaryota; Metazoa; Hemichordata; Enteropneusta; Harrimaniidae
Source: RefSeq, a predicted model, not a curated record
UUAUAAAGUAAUUCAUUUUACUGGGAUCUGGUACCAUCAGUGGUGAGACUGAAGAUUCUUAUGGCUCACUCUUAGAACUGUGUUGGAAGGGAACUAAACCAAUAGAUAUUGGUGAUGGACAAAUACGAAAAUUUCUUCAAGAUGGUGACACCUUUUAUUUAUCAGGCCACUGUCAAGGUGAUGGUUACUGUAUUGGAUUUGGAGAGUGUUCUGGCAAAGUACUUCCUGCACACCAGUAACAGAAAGAUAAUAUCAUUUGCUUCGAUCUUUGCUUAUUUCACUGUAAUGUUACAUGUGAUCAGAAUGGUGGUGAUCAGAAUAUUAACAGGUGGUGGUAUACAUGGAUACACUGCAUAGUUGUAUUUAAUGUGUUCACAAGUGAAUUAUGUAUGAUUUAUAGUACUGACACAACACCAUAUCAAAGUGAUACAGCAGUAUGCUUAGGAACGACGUCAAAAGAUCGAUGUCGGAUAAAAAACUUAUUUGCUUUAGUUUGGGGGUGGGGGGUUUUGACCUCAAAAAGUUUCCAUCCUACAAAAACGAUUUUAUUUGUUAAUGAAGUCAAAAAAUCGUGGAGUAUUUGUAGUUCGUUUUUUUUCUAUCCAAUCAUGGACAGAAAUAACAGAAAAUGAAAAAAACAAAAAUCCAAGACGAGAAAAUGGUUUGGUCCGAGUGUAAAUAUGUGCGUCAAAUGAGGUGCAUUUGUAAAAGUCUUUUUACACCCACCCGACAGCUAACUGCUAU